UAUUACAACAAUGGUCUCAAAGAAGUAAAAACACACAACAAGACGCAACCUAUUGAACUUGCACACAAGAACGAAAUCAGAUAGUAAAAGAAAGGUGUUGUGAGUCUUCACAAACUUUAAUUAAUGGUGAAUGAAUCUAUCGACAACACAAAUCAAUUCACGUAGCAACAACUCCCUACAAAAAUCACAGCAAGCAUAAUAACUCUUUCAAACUAAACAAACAAAGAUCACAUUGAACCAUAACAAGGAACGACAACGAACAUAACAAAAUCAUUGUUGUGGUAGUGUCAACCCAAAACGUAUUGAUAAUUGCAUAUUUCAACAAAUCUGAAACAAAUUAGAAAUCAAAGCAAAACACACCACCACCAACCACAAAAACAGAUCUGGAAUCGAUGAACGAUUCAAAUCCAGGAAGACAACAUCAACUCUUCACGCGAGCAAAAUUUUACAACCUCCAAAUAUCCAAUACCCAUGCUCAGGUGAUCCGAAUUCGACGACAUGAGCAAGCUAACUGAGUGAGAGAAGAGCGAAACAACCACUUGCCGAUGGCGUUGAACGAAACCACACAACGACGCCCACCUAAAAGCCAUAGUUAGACAACUUUCAGAAAACACGAUGGCACGAAGGAAGAACCUCAUCGCACCAUCAAACAACUUAGCUACAUGUUAAAGUCGAAGAUUGAAUUUUGAGAGAGAAAAAGUGAUGGAGGCGAAAAGGGUUUGGCCGAUGAUAGAGAAGAAAACAUUUACAAAGGUGAAUUGUUGUAAUAUGCAGGAUGGCGCCUUAGAG
Molecule: long non-coding RNA, 789 nt
Filed under: Lathyrus oleraceus (garden pea)
Lineage: Eukaryota; Viridiplantae; Streptophyta; Magnoliopsida; Fabales; Fabaceae
Description: Pisum sativum (pea) long non-coding RNA (PSAT_LNC010050)
Source: RNAcentral